GGCCAAUUCUGCACUGUGCAGUUUGCCGGUGUUGAGUUUGGUCAUCCGUAAGGGAAGCCAGUUCGGCCUUCACUGGUCGGCUGGGGGAACUUACAAUUUACUGUGAAAAAAUUAGAGUGUUUCAGGCAGGCAAUCGCUUGGAUACUCCAGCAUGGAAUAAGGGUUUCUUAUGAAAUCAAGUUUGAGUCAUUUAGAAAUAUCAAUCUAUUCACCUUGCCUCCUACCUUCGGUUCGCAUCCUGUUUUAUUUGGAUCCAUCCUUUUGAACACAAUAAGUCAAGUCAAUGAAUUUCUCCAGCAUCCCUAAUGGAAUAGGACUUUGGUCUAUUUAUUGGUUUGAGAUCAAAGUA
This 349-nucleotide ribosomal RNA is filed under the name uncultured fungus. RNAcentral describes it as "partial small subunit ribosomal RNA". The record is from RNAcentral. Lineage: Eukaryota; Fungi.